RNAcentral lists this ribosomal RNA (491 nucleotides) under uncultured bacterium. RNAcentral describes it as "partial 16S ribosomal RNA". It matches the Rfam family "Bacterial small subunit ribosomal RNA", at positions 28 to 507 of the family's 1533-position model. The record is from RNAcentral.
GAUGAACGCUAGCUACAGGCUUAACACAUGCAAGUCGAGGGGAAACGACAUUGAAGCUUGCUUCGAUGGUCGUCGACCGGCGCACGGGUGAGUAACGCGUAUCCAACCUGCCUCUGACCAAGGGAUAACCCGUCGAAAGUCGGCCUAAUACCUUAUGCAGUCGUCGGAAGUCAUCUGAUGACGACGAAAGAUUUCAUCGGUGAGAGAUGGGGAUGCGUCUGAUUAGCUUGUUGGCGGGGUAACGGCCCACCAAGGCAACGAUCAGUAGGGGUUCUGAGAGGAAGGUCCCCCACAUUGGAACUGAGACACGGUCCAAACUCCUACGGGAGGCAGCAGUGAGGAAUAUUGAUCAAUGGGCGAGAGCCUGAACCAGCCAAGUAGCGUGCAGGAUGACGGCCCUAUGGGUUGUAAACUGCUUUUAUGCGGGGAUAAAGUGAGGGACGUGUCCUUCAUUGCAGGUACCGCAUGAAUAAGGACCGGUUAAUUCCGUG